UUGACCUCGGAUCAGGUAGGAAUACCCGCUGAACUUAAGCAUAUCAAUAAGCGGAGGAAAAGAAACCAACAGGGAUUGCCUCAGUAACGGCGAGUGAAGCGGCAACAGCUCAAAUUUGAAAUCUGGCCUUUACGGUCCGAGUUGUAAUUUGUAGAGGAUGUUUUGGGCACCGCCCCGGGUUAAAUUUCUUGGAACAGAAUGUCAAAGAGGGUGAGAGUCCCGUCUUGGCCCGCGGUAGGACCUAUGUAAAACUCCUUCGACGAGUCGACUUGUUUGGGAAUGCAGGUCUAAAUGGGUGGUAAAUUUCAUCUAAAGCUAAAUAUUGGCCAGAGACCGAUAGCGCACAAGUAGAGUGAUCGAAAGAUGAAAAGCACUUUGAAAAGAGAGUUAAACAGUAUGUGAAAUUGUUGAAAGGGAAGCGCUGGCAACCAGACUCGAGCGCGGUGUUCCCCUUGGCUUCUGCCUUGGUUAUUUCACCGUGACCGGGCCAUCAUCAGUUUUGGGGGUUGGUUAAAGAUCUGGGGAAUGUAUCCUCUCUUUCGGGGGAGGACUUAUAGCCCUGGAUGUCAUGCAGCCUCCCGGGACUGAGGAACGCGCUUCGGCGAGGAUGAUGGCGUAAUGGUUGUCAGCGACCCGUCUUGAAACACGGACCAAGGAGUCUAACAUCUAUGCGAGUGUUCGGGUGUCAAACCCCUGCGCGGAAUGAAAGUGAACGGAGGUAGGAAGGCCUGUGCCUGCACUAUCGACCGAUCCUGAUGUCUUCGGAUGGAUUUGAGUAAGAGCAUAGCUGUUGGGACCCGAAAGAUGGUGAACUAUGCGUGAAUAGGGUGAAGCCAGAGGAAACUCUGGUGGAGGCUCGCAGCGGUUCUGACGUGCAAAUCGAUCGUCAAAUUUGCGUAUAGGGGCGAAAGACUAAUCGAACCAUCUGGUAGCUGGUUCCUGCCGAAGUUUCCCUCAGGAUAGCAGUAACGUUUUCAGUUUUAUGAGGUAAAGCGAAUGAUUAGAGGCCUUGGGGUUGAAACAACCUUAACCUAUUCUCAAACUUUAAAUAUGUAAGAAGUCCUUGUUACUUAGUUGAACGUGGACAUUUGAAUGUAUCGUUACUAGUGGGCCAUUUUUGGUAAGCAGAACUGGCGAUGCGGGAUGAACCGAACGCGAGGUUAAGGUGCCGGAAUGCACGCUCAUCAGACACCACAAAAGGUGUCAAUGCAUCUAGACAGCCGGACGGUGGCCAUGGAAGUCGGAAUCCGCUUAGGAGUGUGUAACAACUCACCGGCCGAAUGCAUUGGCCCUGAAAAUGGAUGGCGCUUAAGCGUGCUACCCAUACCUCGCCGUCAGGGUUGACAUGAUGCCCUGACGAGUAGGCAGGCGUGGAGGUCCGUGACGAAGCCUUGGGGGUGACCCCGGGUCGAACGGCCUCUAGUGCAGAUCUUG
RNAcentral lists this ribosomal RNA (1434 nucleotides) under Chaetothyriales sp. MCRE2. RNAcentral's name for it is "eukaryotic LSU rRNA". It matches the Rfam family "Eukaryotic large subunit ribosomal RNA", at positions 1 to 1453 of the family's 3401-position model. The record is from RNAcentral. Lineage: Eukaryota; Fungi; Ascomycota; Eurotiomycetes; Chaetothyriales.